UAAUUCUCACAACCACUUAUGAGGUAGGUAAGAUUUUUGUUGUCAUUUUACAGAUUAAGAACUGAGGCUCAAAGAGGGUGAGAAACUGAUCCUCAGCCUCCCAGCUUCUAAGUGGUGGAGCCAGGAUUCAAACCUACAUUUCCUGAUGGGGCUCUCAAUCCUUCUGUCCACUGCCUCUGAGCUAAGAAAAUUAUAACCAGUUCAUACUUGGCAAACACUCUAUGCUGCACAAAAUACUCAGUUCUCGUCACUUCCCUGUGAGGUCAGGUUGAAGAGCAGACAAAAAGGGAUGCUGGAUAUCUGCUGAUCACAACUUCCGAAACACAAAAUUGCUGCUGCUGCUGGGGCUGAUUCCACCGCCAUCUCCUUAGACAGCAAGAACAGCCCUACAACAGUCCAUCUGAUUUCUCUAAGUACACUGCUUUCACUUCUAAA
Felis catus (domestic cat) is the source of this 435-nucleotide long non-coding RNA. RefSeq lists it as uncharacterized. The transcript is spliced from 2 exons. The record is from RefSeq and is a predicted model, not a curated record. NCBI's taxonomy places the organism in Eukaryota, Metazoa, Chordata, Mammalia, Carnivora, Felidae.